RNAcentral lists this ribosomal RNA (354 nucleotides) under uncultured eukaryote. RNAcentral describes it as "partial 18S ribosomal RNA". It matches the Rfam family "Eukaryotic small subunit ribosomal RNA", at positions 592 to 976 of the family's 1831-position model. The record is from RNAcentral.
CAAUAGUGUAUCUUAAUGUUGUUGCUGUUAAAAAGCUCGUAGUUGAAUUUCUGGCUCUCUAGCUAAGACUUGUUCGAGGCAGGAGGGUCAUCCGCAUUGAAAGUGCAUAUGCCGAAUAAGCUGUGCAUCGAAGAUGUAUUUUACUUUGAAGAAAUUAGAGUGUUCCAGGCAAGCAAUGCUUGAAUAUUACAGCAUGGAAUAAUGGAAUAGGACUAUCCAUUCUGUUGGUUAAUGGAUCAGUAAUGAUUAACAGGGACAGUUGGGGGCAUUCGUACUGGGCAGUCAGUGGUAAAAUACUGUGACCUGUUCAAGACGCACUAAUGCGAAAGCAUUUGCCAAGGAUGUUUUCAUUAA